AAAAUUCUUGAAGCUCAGUUGACGCGCGUCGCAAACCCUAGAAUCCAAGCUUCGAGCUUCUCAAGAGUCGCAAUGGCGCCUCCGCGAACACCUCCUUUCCCUUCUCCCCUAAUUGAAGCGGAAAGACCAACUCAUCGGCCGCUUCAAGCACUAUGAAGCGGGAAUGAAUGCGCGAGCUUUGAAGAAGUUCGCUGAGGAGAAUCAGCAGAGACUGGCGACGGAGUGUGAGAAAUUGUUUUCUCGCUGCCAGUCGUUGGAGAAUGAUUGCGCCCUGUAGGAUAAAGACAGAGAAGCGUUGAUGGAGUUUGGGAACAACGCUGACGAACGGGCACGGGAGGCUCAAACCCAAGUUCUUGAAUUGGAACGGGAUUUGCUCUUUAUGGGGAAUGAAUUGAACAAAUAUAAGAAUCAACAUCAAUUGAGCCAUGGAAGCAACUAAUGUUCAUCCUUCCCGCAUUUCUGAAUUUGGAACGCUGGAUCAAUCUCUUGGAUUUCGCGUUGAAGAUACCAAUUGUUUAAAUUUAUCAUACAUACAAAAACAUGCUUAUUUUUACUCUAAAAUAUGGUGCUUCAUUGUCUUUUGGCAGUCUGAAAGGUGUGAAUCCAGUGGAUCAAAAGAUAAAUCAAAUCAAAAGACAUUAAGACGACUUGCUCAAAAUUGUGAGGCUGCCAGGAAAAGUCGACUGAGGAAAAAGGCAUAUCAGCAACAAUUAGAGAGCAGUAGGCUUAAACUGACCCAACUUGAGCAGGAGCUCCAGCGAGCACGCCAGUAGGUAUUGUAUGACUACGAAGACAAAAUCAACCAAGCUGUUUUCCCUGGACUGCAAGGUGGCCCUUACAAUCACACUAUUAUUGGUUUAACUGUUGCAUUGAAGCCGGUAUGUAGAAGAAUUAGUUGCUAGUGCAAAGGCUGCUGUGGAGGAAGUUAUCCGGCAUGGGGUAAGCUUUAUUUUUACUGUAUAUACAGAAUAUGAAGUCAAGGUGAUGAUCUAAGAUAUCUUAAGAUUUUCCAGUUGAGGUCAUAUUUUCAUCUUCCUUUAGUUAGUGUUAGAUGUUUAAUUUUUAGGCAUGUGUGAUCUAUCGAAACUUCUGCUUUCAAUCAAUUCUGAAAUGUUUCAGUAAUUUAUAAAAUUAGUAAUAGGUUUGUCAAAAUUGUUUCA
This is an RNA transcript of Glycine soja, 1160 nucleotides long. RefSeq lists it as uncharacterized. The transcript has 7 exons. NCBI's taxonomy places the organism in Eukaryota, Viridiplantae, Streptophyta, Magnoliopsida, Fabales, Fabaceae. The record is from RefSeq and is a predicted model, not a curated record.